RNAcentral lists this long non-coding RNA (358 nucleotides) under Volvox carteri. RNAcentral's name for it is "long non-coding RNA (VCAR_LNC003890)". Lineage: Eukaryota; Viridiplantae; Chlorophyta; Chlorophyceae; Chlamydomonadales; Volvocaceae. The record is from RNAcentral.
UGGGAUCUCACGUUACAAAACGUCGAUGCAGAUGGUACCUCAAUCGGCAGUUAUCGCCUCACGUCAAAGGUUCCAGUUGGACUACAACUCGAGGACUCAUGCUUACGGGUUUUAUGCGGAGUCGUCGUGUUAAGCACGCUGUUUUUCUAGCGCUUACUGUCCAGCCAGCCCUGGGGCGAGCAUCAAACUAAUUGUCAGCACGUAUAGCAACCCAAGCCCAAGCGCCCAUGCCGUAAAACCAGCUGUCGUAUGUGCCUCCUGCAUCCAGCGUACGGCACCCCAACAAGCCGAGCGAUCGGGCACAAUCUUUAGGGCCGCAUACAUGAUCAUCCAAACCAACGAAUUCCCACGAUAUUCC